CCGUGUCAUGGUUUUACCCAUUACAGUGCUGACAGGGUCAUGGUUUUACCCAUUACAGUGCUGACCGUGUCAUGGUUUUACCCAUUACAGUGUUGACCGUGUCAUGGUUUUACCCAUUACAGUGUUGACCGUGUCAUGGUUUUACCCAUUACAGUGUUGACAGGGUCAUGGUUUUACCCAUUACAGUGCUGACAGGGUCAUGGUUUUACCCAUUACAGUGUUGACCGUGUCAUGGUUUUACUAUUAGGUUGUGUCCCAAAUGACACCCUAUUCCCUACAUUGUACUCUACUUUUGACCAUUUUGACAAAUGUAGGGAACAGGGUACCAUUUGAGGGACACCCUAAUUCUCUGAUAAUAAAUCAAAUAAGCAUAUCUUCCCUUUUCUCCUCCCAUCAUCACUACCUUUUCAUUAUUACCUCCAAUUCUCUAUUCAUUAAGAGAAUUAAAGCUCUGCAAUAGACUGUCAGCAUGAGAGCGAGACAAAAUGAGGAGAGAACGAGUGAGGAGAGAGAACGAGAGAGGAGAGAGAACGAGUGAGGAGAGAGAGAACGAGUGAGGAGAGAGAGAACGAGUGAGGAGAGAGAGUACGAGUGAGGAGAGAGAGAACGAGUGAGGAGAGAGAGAACGAGAGGAGAGAGAGAACGAGAGAGAGAGAACGAGAACCGAGAACGAGAGAGAGAACGAGAAGAGAGAACGAGAGAGGAGAGAACGAGAGAGGAGAGAGAGAACGAGAGAGAGAGAACGAGAGAGGAGCGAGAACGAGAGAGGAGCGAGAACGAGAGAGGAGAGAGAACGAGAGAGGAGAGAGAACGAGAGAGGAGAGAGAACGAGAGAGGAGAGAGAACGAGAGGGACAUACAUAAGAGAAGAGUGAGAAAGAACCAUGGAGAACAAGAGAGAAAGUGACAAAGAAAAUGAAAAAGAGAAUGCAUAAAUGAGUCAGUCCGUGAUGACUUGUGCAGUCUGGUUGUAAUUACAGAUCAAAGGAGUUCCCCUGCUGUGUCCGUCUGUCUGGCUGGUGUGGGUCCUCUAGAGUGGGCAGAGACUGGGUAUGCGACUGGCAGCCAUAGCAACACCAGACAGUCUGCUGAUGCCAUCUACCCCCUAGGCACACUAUUCCCUAUAUAGGGCACUACUUUUACAUUUUUUUACCAGGGCCCUAUAGGGAAUAGGGUGCCGUUUGAGAUGUAUUCUCAGUCAUAGCCACCUGCUAUGGUAACCGAGGGGUUCUGAGACUAAUCACAACCUGAGGAAAGUCUCACAAUUCCCUCUCAAUUCCUGUUAAUAUUCAUGACAGAGUUGUGCAAGUGUCUGAGUUAGGUGCUAAGUCAUAUCCCAUAUUAGGAUUGGUCCUCAUUCAUCCAAGUGUCUGAGUUAGGUGCUAAGUCAUAUCCCAUAUUAGGAUUAGUCCUCAUUCAUCCAAGUGUCUGAGUUAGGUGCUAAGUCAUAUCCCAUAUUAGGAUUAGUCCUCAUUCACCCAUAUAGCUGGCAAGCAAGGAGAACCCAGCAUCCUCAGAUGAACUGAGACUAAUCCUGUAGUUGAGGAAAGACUCGAAUUUCAAUUCAA
Molecule: long non-coding RNA, 1567 nt
Filed under: Salmo salar (Atlantic salmon)
Lineage: Eukaryota; Metazoa; Chordata; Actinopteri; Salmoniformes; Salmonidae
Description: lncRNA (ENSSSAG00000105364.1)
Source: RNAcentral